Molecule: ribosomal RNA, 253 nt
Filed under: uncultured bacterium
Lineage: Bacteria
Description: partial 16S ribosomal RNA
Rfam family: Bacterial small subunit ribosomal RNA
Source: RNAcentral
UACGUAGGUGGCAAGCGUUGUCCGGAAUUACUGGGCGUAAAGCGUGCGCAGGCGGCGCCGCAAGUCAGGCGUGAAAUCCCCGGGCUCAACCCGGGAACUGCGUCCGAUACUGGAAGGCUUGAAUCCGGGAGAGGGAUGCGGAAUUCCAGGUGUAGCGGUGAAAUGCGUAGAUAUCAGGAGGAACACCAAUGGCGAAGGCAGCACUCUGGGACGUGACUGACGCUGAGACGCGAAAGCGUGGGGAGCAAACAGG